CCUUCUGCAGAUGUGUCUUCCAUCUCCCACAGGAAUAAGCUGUUCUGUGUCGUCUCCUGACACACUUUCAGGAUUUCCCAACUUGGCAGCUACCAUGAUACUUCACAGUUUUAGGAAGAUCUCUGAGAAUUUCCUCUUUGUUAAAAUGGAGCCAAGAAGGGGCUGUGAGGAUCAUGGAGAGCAGCCUAUGCACUCCUAUGGCAAGGUCCCUCUGGGAAUCUUCAGGUGAUACUCUCUGGCUCUGAGGACCAAUCACAUUUGAUCAUGGAAGUCAUACAGAAACCAUACACUGGACCAGCAAGAUGGCUCAGCAGGUUAGGAUGUAAACUCUCAGCUCCUACUCCAGUGUCAUGUCUGUCUGCCUGCUGCCAAGCCCCCCACUCCCCAAAAGAGUCAUGGAUCCAACCUCUGAAACUG
This is a long non-coding RNA of Mastomys coucha (southern multimammate mouse), 417 nucleotides long. RefSeq lists it as uncharacterized. The transcript has 4 exons. The record is from RefSeq and is a predicted model, not a curated record. Lineage: Eukaryota; Metazoa; Chordata; Mammalia; Rodentia; Muridae.